GACGAACGCUGGCGGCGUGCUUAACACAUGCAAGUCGAACGGAAAGGCCCUGCUUUUGUGGGGUGCUCGAGUGGCGAACGGGUGAGUAACACGUGAGUAACCUGCCCUUGACUUUGGGAUAACUUCAGGAAACUGGGGCUAAUACCGGAUAGGAGCUCCUGCUGCAUGGUGGGGGUUGGAAAGUUUCGGCGGUUGGGGAUGGACUCGCGGCUUAUCAGCUUGUUGGUGGGGUAGUGGCUUACCAAGGCUUUGACGGGUAGCCGGCCUGAGAGGGUGACCGGCCAAAUGGGGACUGGGAUACGGCCCAGACUCCUACGGGGGGAAGGGGGGGGGAAUAUUGCACAAGGGGCGGAAGCCUGAGGCAGCAACGCCGGGGGGGGGAUGACGGCCUUGGGGUUGUAACCCGCUUUCGCCUGGGACGAAGCGGGGGUGACGGUAAUGGGUAAAGAAGCACCGGCUAACUACGU
RNAcentral lists this ribosomal RNA (467 nucleotides) under uncultured bacterium. Its description in RNAcentral is "partial 16S ribosomal RNA". It matches the Rfam family "Bacterial small subunit ribosomal RNA", at positions 28 to 506 of the family's 1533-position model. The record is from RNAcentral.